CCCUUAGAUGUCCUGGGCCGCACGCGCGCUACACUGAGUGUCUGAGAUAUGAGGCAUGCCUGGUCCGGCAAGGUCUAGGUAAUCACGAAAAGGCACAUCAUGCUUGGGAUUGAUUAUUGCAAAUUUUAAUCAUGAACGAGGAAUUCCUAGUAAGUGCAAGUCAACAGCUUGCGUUGAUUACGUCCCUGCCCUUUGUACACACCGCCCGUCGCUCCUACCGAUUGGGUGUGCUGGUGAAAUGUUCGGAUCGGCCGUUUGUCGCGGUUUCCGCGUCAUGUGGCUGAGAAGUUCAUUAAACCCUCCCACCUAGAGGAAGGAGAAGUCGUAACA
This 330-nucleotide ribosomal RNA is filed under the name uncultured eukaryote. RNAcentral's name for it is "partial 18S ribosomal RNA". It matches the Rfam family "Eukaryotic small subunit ribosomal RNA", at positions 1470 to 1796 of the family's 1831-position model. The record is from RNAcentral.